RNAcentral lists this ribosomal RNA (515 nucleotides) under uncultured bacterium. RNAcentral describes it as "bacterial SSU rRNA". It matches the Rfam family "Bacterial small subunit ribosomal RNA", at positions 973 to 1494 of the family's 1533-position model. The record is from RNAcentral.
UCCUAGGCUAGAAUGUGAGAUGACCGCUUCUGAAAGGGAGCUUUCCUUCGGGACACGAAACAAGGUGCUGCAUGGUUGUCGUCAGCUCGUGCCGUGAGGUGUUGGGUUAAGUCCCGCAACGAGCGCAACCCUUAUCGUUAGUUACCAGCACGUUAUGGUGGGGACUCUAGCGAGACUGCCGGCGUAAGCCGCGAGGAAGGUGGGGAUGACGUCAAAUCAUCAUGGCCUUUAUGCCUAGGGCGACACACGUGCUACAAUGGCCGGAACAGCGGGAAGCGAAACUGUGAAGUGGAGCCAAUCCCCUAAAUCCGGUCUCAGUUCGGAUUGGAGUCUGCAACUCGACUCCAUGAAGGUGGAAUCGCUAGUAAUCGCGCAUCAGCCAUGGCGCGGUGAAUACGUUCCCGGACCUUGUACACACCGCCCGUCAAGCCAUGGAAGCUGGGGGUACCUGAAGAUGGUGACUUUACGGGGAGCUAUCUAAGGUAAAACUAAUAACUGGGGCUAAGUCGUAACAG